CCGUCGUCCUCAUCCUCAUUUAUUGGGCGCUAGUUCAAUGACUUUUAGCAGAACUAAGUGGAACAUUUAUAUCUUCUGUGCUUAAAAUUAGAGCUGGAGGGGAAAAAAUGUAACCACUAGCUAAUGCCUAAUAGUAACAAAUAAAAUUCUUAGCUCUCAAUCAGUAUCACUACAAAUAACUUUGGACAAAAUUAAGAGUUACAUCUUUCAUAACUGAUAUUAACACAUAUAUUACACUUUAAAAGAUGAUUUGGUCAUGUAGAACAAAGAACAAAAGAUAGCUGAAUCACUUGCCACAAUAAUCACAUCAGCGUAAACUUCAGACGGCGAGACAAACUAGCAACUCGGCCAUAUAACUACUAGGUGAUGAUAAAAAAAAUGACAUAAAAAUGCGUAAUUGCAUGUGCUAAUAACCAAAGCAAUUUACCUGCAUUAUCAGAAAUUGGUGUCAGAGUAACAUCAAUUAAAGAUCCUGCACUUGUUGGAUGAAUCCAAAGAGUGUAAUUCAGAAUUCUUUAUCUCAUGUACCCGUUAAUUUGUACGUGAGGAAUGUGAGAAAGGAAGGCAGGCUGGUCCUCUCCAGGCAAGAAAUGUACCUUACGACAGCCCAAGAUUUUCAAUUCUUUAAGAGAGGUGAGAUGUUGAAUCCCCUUGUCAAGGUAUUUCAGAUUUUUAAGAUGCUCAAUUUUAAGAGAGGUAAGAGUGUUGGGCAGUAGAUUCUCCUCAGGGAAGGAUUCCACAUUUUCAUCAAAAGAAAUAGUGAAGUGCGAAAGAGAGGAGAGUCUAUGCAAAUCCCAUUGCAUACGGGCAGCAAUUAGUUUGGAACAACUCGAGAUCUCAAGUGAUUCUAAUUUGGAGGGCAAACCGUCUGCUGGAAAAGAUUCAAGUUCUCCACAAUAACCGAUCACCAAAUUAACAAGCGAAGGGAGAGAGUACAUAUGUUCAGGCAGCUCGGUCAACAGCGGGCAGCUCAUGAUUUCUAGUUUUCUGAGAGAGGUGAGGUGUUGCAACCGACUUGAGUUCAAAGAUAGGAGAUUACAACUCGAGAAUGAAAGAGAGGUGAGAGCCGAGGGCACCAGUGUCUCCCUCGGUAAGGAUUCCAUAUCAGAGUACGUACCACUUAUGGAAAGUGAAAGAGAGGGGUAUAUUUGCAAAAGCCAUUCCAGGCUACCAGCAAUGAGUUUCUCGCAACGAUCGAUCUGAACCAAUUCCAAUUUGGAGGGAAAAUCCUCUUCUGGAAAAGACUCUAGCUCUGGACAUUCAAGUAUUUUCAACUCCUCAAGGGAGGGGAGGAGGGCGUACAUGCAUUCAGGUAAUGACUUCAAAUUUACACGUCGCAAGAAGAGCCUUGUUAAAUUUGGGGUAGGUAAUCCUCCUUUAGGAAAUGAUAUAAAUUUAGGACACUUACAAAUCACCAAUGAAGUUAGAGAUAUCAACUCCCCCAGAGGUCCCUCAGAUGCACAUAGGGAUUCAAAAUUUUCACAUGUAUCUAUUUUAAGGUACUUCAGUUUGGGGAACAACUCUAGUGGGAAGAACAUAAGUGAAUCGCAGCAUUUGAUCAUGAUUUUUCCUAGAGGAGUGAAAAGAUUACUCAUACGCAAAAUUCCCUCUUGCAGAGGAUUUGGAAAGUUCAAUCCAACAACACAGAAAGAUUGCAAUCCAGAUUCUUCCCUUAAUUUCGAUCCAGAAUUUUCUCCCAUUUUGCGUAGUUUUAUAUCACGGAUGGCUGGAGCUAUAGGAAAAGAGACCAAAAGCUUGUCACAUCCGAGGAUAAUAAGUUCUGUCAAAGAAGGCAGGUGAAUGGGCAAGGCCUGGGUCAGAUUGGGACAAUAAACUAUCUCAAGCUGUUGAAGAAGAGGGAAAGC
RNAcentral lists this unclassified non-coding RNA (1865 nucleotides) under Hevea brasiliensis (rubber tree). Lineage: Eukaryota; Viridiplantae; Streptophyta; Magnoliopsida; Malpighiales; Euphorbiaceae. The record is from RNAcentral.